UUCGGUCAUAUCACGUUGAAACAACGGUUCCCGUAGGAUCUACGAAGUUAAGCAAUGUCGGGUCUAUUCGGUAUUUAGAUUGGUAACCGGUUGGACAUACCAGGUGUUGUAAG
Molecule: non-coding RNA, 113 nt
Organism: Acanthosepion pharaonis
Lineage: Eukaryota; Metazoa; Mollusca; Cephalopoda; Sepiida; Sepiidae
Source: the annotation of a GenBank genome assembly